AAAUAAGAGAAAUUAUAAUAAAUAAAGAGAUCGUAGCCAUUGCCCAUCACAAGUUUAAACUAAUAGAUCCCUUCCCUAUUCUCCAGCGUCCAUUCCCAUCACCACCUUGAGUCCCCAAGCCUAAAAAUCGCACGGGCCUCUCUACUUCUCUCUGUCUACGGCCUCCUCGUGUGACCCUGCAGCAAUAAAUUGAAAUCAACAAAAGCAGGGCUUUGAAAACACCGAGAUAGCUAAUAAGUCUCCCAUAUUCCGUAUGCCUGAGCCUCAUCACUUCAGCGAUUAUGGCUUUGACCCACAAAUCGACUUCUUUCAGUUCUUGGAAGAAGCAAGAAAGCACAAGCGUGAGACAGUGAGGUCUGUAGACUCUUUGCAUUUCAAGCUCCAGAAACCCAUCUCCAAAGAUGACUCUAACAGAAAGAUCCACAAGACCAAGAAGAAACGGUGGUGGAGAAAAGCCUUCUUAUUUUUCAAAUGGAAGUGGAUCUACGGCCACCAUAAUAACGAUCUUUCCGAUGAAGAAGAUGUCCAUAAAGCUAGGGCUCGAGCAUUCAGGGCAUCAGUAUCGGGUCCUGUGUACAUAACUGAAAGUAUAAGUGGUUCAAGUACUCCACACAGGACCACCAACCGCCCAUCAUCGGGUCCGCUCGCCGGAAAUCUGACUACGGAGAGGAGGGGUGAUUUGGAGAUACCUUAUUUGAGUCUGAGGGAGCUUAACAGGGAGCAGCAGCAGCAGAGGAUGUCCACUUCUGCUAUGCCAAUAUAUUUGGUCACUUAAUUAAAAUGUUUCAGCUUUUAAGUCUUUUUUAGCUCUGUGCAGUUUCUGUUUCAAGAUGUCACAUUGUUACUGACUAGUGACUACUACUUGUUUGAUUUUGGGAAGUUCAAGCUUCAAAAGGUGUUUGAUCCUUUUGGAGGAUGAUUGGAUUGGAUUAUUGAGUUCCGCAACUAAUAGUAACUCGGUGGUUUGACUAAGUCGCCUCCACUCAUUUUCUCCCUUCUUUAUUCGCCAACUUUCACGAGGCUUUUUAAUUAGUGGUUGGAUUAUUUUAUUUGUUAAUAUAAAUUAUUAAAAAAUUUCCUUUAUUUUUUUAAAAAGACCCUUGAAAGCUUGUCGCUUUUAUGCUUUAGAUCAAUAUAUCCACUUUUAGCACAGAUCCUGUGAAUAAAAUUGAAGUGGGAAAGGCAGAUGUGUAGAGCUGCCUUGUGAUAUGGGGUUUGGGUGACAUGGGUAGAGCAUAGGUUUUGGAAGAUGCAAAGACCUCCUUCCUUUAUGUGUGUUUAAUGCAAGAAAAAAUCAUUAUCUUUAACUAUAUAAUGUGGUGUGGGUAAUGAAGAAGUUCUGCAACUACCAAUUUGUUUAAUUACUUAUUAUUAAAUUCGAAAGGUUGGUAUUUUUUAAUUCAGUGCCGACAAUCUCAUCUAUUUUAAACCCUGGACAGGUUGGUGGAGAUUAAUCAUGUAUGUUAUGGUAUGGAUGGAGUGGAGGAGGAGAAAUACCCCAGUAUGCAGCUCAUCCAUCCAAUGUGAAAAUACCAGUCAGCUCUACCGUAAAGCAAUAUGUUUCGGGCACUUCGAUUGGUAGCUUUCGUCCUUUUUCACAUCAUGGACCUUGCUCCUUACAAAGUGAAAACAACCCAUUAGGAUACAGUUCCAACUUCCCCUAGGAGAGCCGGCAUGUUAUCAUUGCGCUUGAUAUACUUUGCCUUAGCCCAAGGGUGGCCGCCGAACCCAUUUGAACCGGCAAUUUUGGUUCAAAAUUUAAGAUAUCAAAAUUAAAACUAUAGAGUUCAUUCGGUUCCAA
Hevea brasiliensis (rubber tree) is the source of this 1801-nucleotide RNA transcript. RefSeq lists it as uncharacterized. The record is from RefSeq and is a predicted model, not a curated record. Lineage: Eukaryota; Viridiplantae; Streptophyta; Magnoliopsida; Malpighiales; Euphorbiaceae. The transcript is spliced from 3 exons.